This is a non-coding RNA of Candidatus Saccharibacteria bacterium 47-87, 150 nucleotides long. The record is from Rfam. Lineage: Bacteria; Candidatus Saccharimonadota.
AAAUUGCUCCUAGACAUACCAAAGACAGUAGCUGUUAUGGCCAAGAGUAUGCUCAAGGCCGUCACUUAAUCCGCUACCGAGGAACAUGUAAAACAUACAUUUUCUGUAGUCUUUGGCAGUGCGAGGUCCAAAGACUCUUUUUAUUUCUAA